UAAAGUUGUUGCAGUUAAAAAGCUCGUAGUUGAAUUUUAGGCCUGACCGGAUGGUCCGUCUUUGGCGAGUACUGUUCUGUCGUCGGGUCUAUCCUUCUGGUGAGCCGGGAUGCCCUUUAUUGGGUGUGUCGGGGAACCAGGACCAUUACCUUGAAAAAAUUAGAGUGUUUAAAGCGGGCAUUUGCUUGAAUAGAUUAGCAUGGAAUAAUAGAAUAGGACGUUGGUUCUAUUUUGUUGGUUUUAGGACCACCGUAAUGAUUAAUAGGG
Molecule: ribosomal RNA, 267 nt
Filed under: uncultured Archaeospora
Lineage: Eukaryota; Fungi; Glomeromycota; Glomeromycetes; Archaeosporales; Archaeosporaceae
Description: partial small subunit ribosomal RNA
Rfam family: Eukaryotic small subunit ribosomal RNA
Source: RNAcentral